Molecule: ribosomal RNA, 468 nt
Filed under: uncultured bacterium
Lineage: Bacteria
Description: partial 16S ribosomal RNA
Rfam family: Bacterial small subunit ribosomal RNA
Source: RNAcentral
GACGAACGCUGGCGGCGUGCUUAACACAUGCAAGUCGAACGGAAAGGCCCUGCUUUUGUGGGGUGCUCGAGUGGCGAACGGGUGAGUAACACGUGAGUAACCUGCCCUUGACUUUGGGAUAACUUCAGGAAACUGGGGCUAAUACCGGAUAGGAGCUCCUGCUGCAUGGUGGGGGUUGGAAAGUUUCGGCGGUUGGGGAUGGACUCGCGGCUUAUCAGCUUGUUGGUGGGGUAGUGGCUUACCAAGGCUUUGACGGGUAGCCGGCCUGAGAGGGUGACCGGCCACAUUGGUACUGAGAUACGGCCCAGACUCCUACGGGAGGCAGCAGUGGCGAAUAUUGCACAAUGAGCGGAAGCCUGAUGCAGCAACGCCGCGUGCGGGAUGACGGCCUUCUGGUUGUAAACCGCUUUCGCCUGUGACGAAGCGUGAGUGACGGUAAUGGGUAAAGAAGCACCGGCUAACUACGUG